This 210-nucleotide ribosomal RNA is filed under the name uncultured bacterium. Its description in RNAcentral is "partial 16S ribosomal RNA". It matches the Rfam family "Bacterial small subunit ribosomal RNA", at positions 524 to 732 of the family's 1533-position model. The record is from RNAcentral.
UACGGAGGGGGCUAGCGUUGUUCGGAAUUACUGGGCGUAAAGCGCACGUAGGCGGCUUUGUAAGUUAGAGGUGAAAGCCCGGGGCUCAACUCCGGAAUUGCCUUUAAGACUGCAUCGCUAGAAUUGUGGAGAGGUAAGUGGAAUUCCGAGUUGUAGAGGUGAAAUUCGUAGAUAUUGGAAGAACACCAGUGGCGAAGGCGGACUUACUGG